Non-coding RNA from Musa acuminata subsp. malaccensis (wild Malaysian banana), 316 nucleotides. NCBI's taxonomy places the organism in Eukaryota, Viridiplantae, Streptophyta, Magnoliopsida, Zingiberales, Musaceae. The record is from RefSeq and is a predicted model, not a curated record.
UUGAAGAGCUGAUGAUCCUGGAGAAGAUUCCUGAAGCCAAGACCAAGAGUAUUCAUUGUGUUUUUUGCAACUUUGAGACUCCACUGACUUCACUUAUUUUUCACUCGCUGUCUAUUGAAAAUAGAAACAGGUUCAUGAAUCGAAUUAAUGGCAAAUGUUGCAGGCUAUGUUCUUCAACGAGACAAUGUGCAUUACCGAUAAGCUAGCUCAAAGUAGAGUUCCUACAUCACCAGGUGGGAAGCACAAACAUGACACAGAAACCUGAAGAACAUGAGCAACAACAAAAAGCAAAGGUACUCUGCAGAAAGACAAGGAG